Molecule: ribosomal RNA, 400 nt
Filed under: Uthina luzonica
Lineage: Eukaryota; Metazoa; Arthropoda; Arachnida; Araneae; Pholcidae
Description: partial 16S ribosomal RNA
Rfam family: Archaeal large subunit ribosomal RNA
Source: RNAcentral
CCUGCUCAAUGAAGAAUAAAUAGCCGCAAUAUACUGUGCUAAGGUAGCAUAAUAACUUGCUUCUUAAUUAGAAGAUAGAAUGAAUGGUUAAACAUUUACUAAUUGUAUCUUAAUAUCUAAAUUAAAUUGUAGUAAGAGUAAAAAUACUCUAAUAACUAAGUGGGACGACAAGACCCUAAUAAACUUUUUAUUUAGUUGGGGAAACAAAAUUAAAAAACUUUAUUACAAUAAUAACACACCUUUAAAUAAAUUUAAGAAUAGUUACUAUAGGGAUAACAGCGUUAUUUUUUUCUAGAGACCUAAUCAAAAAAAAAGUUUACGACCUCGAUGUUGAAUUAAUAUCCUAUACUAACGCACACGUUAUAAUAAGGUAGUCUGUUCGACUAUUUAAAAAUUACAU